This 73-nucleotide transfer RNA is filed under the name Candidatus Nardonella dryophthoridicola. RNAcentral describes it as "tRNA-Trp". It matches the Rfam family "tRNA". Rfam says of the family: Transfer RNA (tRNA) molecules are approximately 80 nucleotides in length. Their secondary structure includes four short double-helical elements and three loops (D, anti-codon, and T loops). Lineage: Bacteria; Pseudomonadati; Pseudomonadota; Gammaproteobacteria. RNAcentral also lists the same sequence under 1 other name. The record is from RNAcentral.
AGGAAGAUAAUUUAAAUGGAUAGAAUUCUAGUCUCCAAAACUAGAUGUGAAAGUUCGAAUCUUUCUCUUCCUG